UACGGAGGAUGCAAGCGUUAUCCGGAUUCACUGGGUUUAAAGGGUGCGUAGGUGGGAAUGUAAGUCAGUGGUGAAAUCUCUGAGCUUAACUCAGAAACUGCCAUUGAUACUAUGUUUCUUGAAUUUUCUGGAGGUCAGCGGAAUAUGUCAUGUAGCGGUGAAAUGCUUAGAUAUGACAUAGAACACCAAUUGCGAAGGCAGCUGGCUACAGGGAUAUUGACACUGAGGCACGAAAGCGUGGGGAUCAAACAGG
This 253-nucleotide ribosomal RNA is filed under the name uncultured bacterium. Its description in RNAcentral is "partial 16S ribosomal RNA". It matches the Rfam family "Bacterial small subunit ribosomal RNA", at positions 524 to 776 of the family's 1533-position model. The record is from RNAcentral.